AUGACUUCGACGCGAGAGUGUACGGAAUUACCACCGAUGGGGCAAUGUGCGCGCCGCCUAAGCGAACACAGAAACUCUCAGGUUAAAUAGUGUCGAAGGAUG
Molecule: non-coding RNA, 102 nt
Filed under: Ferroacidibacillus organovorans
Lineage: Bacteria; Bacillati; Bacillota; Bacilli; Caryophanales; Alicyclobacillaceae
Description: Acidibacillus ferrooxidans Glycine sequence
Rfam family: Glycine riboswitch aptamer
About the family: This family represents the bacterial glycine riboswitch.
Source: RNAcentral